GGCUUCCCCCCACCCCACCCCCCGGCAUAGCUUCCAGGACCGCAUGUUUCUCUUGCAGAGUGCUCAUAAGGAAAUCUAAGUCCAACCCCCAGCUUGGACAGGUGAAGCCCUCUGGAAGGCCGGCUGUUCCAGGAGCCAGGACAACACUGGAAUGUCCUUCCAAACCAGGACCCAAACAGCUGAGGGGCUCCAGUUACCCAAGAGCAGGGAUCGUGAGCCCUGCCUUCAUCUUUGAAUCACCUGGGUAGAUCUGCAAGUUACUGAUACCUGGGGUCUUUCUUCCAAUCAGCUCAAUAUCCAGUCAAGGAGUGGGUCCAGGCUCCAGGUUUUGACACCUUUCCAAAGUUCCUUCCAUGCUUGUGAUGUGCAGGAAGAACUGAAAGGCCCUGGCCCGGAUGGUGUCUGCGGUUUCUGGCAGGCAGAAGGUUGACUAUCUAUAAGACUUGGUGACAACGGAGUGGGUGGGUGGCCCUUCCAGGUGCAACCAGAACAAGACAGACAGUUGCCUGUGGAUCAGGCCUGGACCGUCACUGCUCUGGAAGCUUUCCAGUAGAAGGGACUAUGUUUUGCCAGCUCCUGCUAUGCCAUUUGGUAUACAGUCUGCUUACGGAGGUGACACCUGCUGACCUUGCGUGUUUGAGAGCCACCCAUUCUGAAGGCUAUAGUGUUCUGCUCACCACCUACAAUUACCGUGACUAAAAAUACUUCGGAGUGAGGAGAGUCUUCAAGGGGACUUGGCGCCCAGACUACACUGUUCCUAUUUUGGUACUAUGUCUCAAGGCCACAGCCUUGCUACUGCUGAGCCGCGCAUCGCCAGUAAGGCAUUGCACUUCAGAAUUCAUGGAAGCCUUGUGAUUAUGUCUCUUUCCCCCAAAAUGGUGCCCACUAGAGAUCUUCCAGAUAAUUCCAUCACGACUUAGCCACCAUGUGCAGAAAAAGCAACUUCGUAGACAUCAGGCGAGCAUGCGUCUUCCCCGUGGUAAUGUAGCCACAGCUAAUGGGAUUCUUCCACCUUCACUGGUGUGAUUGAGGAGCUUCCACACAAACCCCAGGUCAUCGUGUGAAGAGAAAUAAACUAGAUGAGGGUGAUCAAACAGGCCGAGAAGACACCAUACCCUCUUCUUCUUCUGCUGUCUUGAGCACCUUGUGUCCGUUCACUCAGCACGAAUCCAUCUUAGCAAUAAAUCCCCCACAAGGGUGUUGUGCUCUCUCCAAUUUAAUCGGCAUUAAAUCCUUUUGAGUCCUCACAUCCUUCCUCUCCCAUCUCUUAAAAUAGUCGGCAGCACUUAAGUCCAGCAUCCUAUCGACUUCUAACAUUGCAUAAUCCCGCAAGCACCCUUUCCCCUAUUCUCCUUAAGGAGCCCUCAUAAUCAGAAAGUUCUCCCAUGAGAACCUGUAGGUAGGGUGGUUCAGGCAGCCCUGGGGUAAGUGGGGCACAAUGCUGCCAGGAUCAUCUGAGGGCUGGAUUGGAGGGAUGUUCACUAUCCCUUCACUGUUUAACUGGCUCAGAAAGUAAGUCUCUGCUUUAUUUAUCUCUCAGGGUGGGCUGAGGACAGAAAAGUUGAAUUGUGGGCAUCGCCACGAUUCUUGGUUCUUGUCACACUUCUUACAGGGGGCUUUGACGUUUGAGUCAGCUUGGCAGGGAGGAGGCGUCACUCAGGGAGCAUGGACUGUGUUCUGAGGGUUUGAGAUUGGGGGACUGUUCUCAAGAGAGACCUGGAGUUGUGCUCACCCUUGCUCGACACUUGGGUCAUUCUGAAUCUGGAAUGGUCAUAGAAGUGCAGUCUCUGUUGAAGAAACCAAACCCUUUGUAGGACCUGCCUUGAGCUAAGGAAAGAAUGGUAGGUGGAACAGAGCUCAACGGACACCGAGAGCAUCUCCCGAGUGACAAGACCUGCCGCCCCCAUUAGUGAACGUGAGAUGUUCGUGGGCAAAGACGCGGGGAUGGGUUCUCAAGCCAGACUCAGCAGAUGUUUGCAGGUGAGUGAGUGAGGAGAAAACACGGUUACAUGGAAGACCCGUUACGGGCAUGAAAACCAAACCCACCUUGAAGAUGUCCCCGCGGUCCCAAGUUGUACGUGGACACCAGAAGAGAAUUUAGACUCAGACCUGGACAAACUAGCGGACAUGCUAUUCCAGGCUUGAGAAAACCCAGGUGGUUAAAAUCAAGGCAGCAUCCUUAGCCUGUGCUUGGUCCAGGAACAUGGCCAUUCAUUUGUGGCUCACCACUGCCCUCUGGUGGCCCUCUCUAAAAAUGCAACUUGGUUUUAAAGGUUGGGGAUGGCGAGACUGGCUUAACCAGUUUGUUUGUUUGUUUGUUUGUUUGAGUACAUAGCCUCAGUAUUUGGGUCUCAGGACCAGUUUGAUUCACCUGCAUGAAUCAACUCACGUGAUUAGAGUAAAAUGAGCAGAAUUCAGUGUAUCUCAUACCUUUGUCUGGCUCUGUCAUUGUCAGACGAUUCAGCUAGCUCUUGGGAACUGCCGUUUCCAUCAGACACUGUUGUGUGGGGCCUUUUAUCUGAGCUGCAGCACUGAUCCUCUAGGGUGGAUGCAAUAAUUAUUCAUGUUACAGAUGAAGAAAUAGAGGCGCACGGAAGACGUCUGGCUCUUAACAUAUGAAUAUGGCAUUGAGUCUCCAGUGACACCAACCUGUUAAGAUGUCACUCAGGACCCAGGCCCGCCCUGAGCAGAAUGGACGGGGGAAAUAUGAUUUUAAAGUAGUGUUU
RNAcentral lists this long non-coding RNA (2726 nucleotides) under Mus pahari (shrew mouse). RNAcentral's name for it is "RIKEN cDNA 2310065F04 gene (MGP_PahariEiJ_G0004619.1)". The record is from RNAcentral. Lineage: Eukaryota; Metazoa; Chordata; Mammalia; Rodentia; Muridae.